RNAcentral lists this ribosomal RNA (460 nucleotides) under uncultured bacterium. Its description in RNAcentral is "partial 16S ribosomal RNA". It matches the Rfam family "Bacterial small subunit ribosomal RNA", at positions 338 to 795 of the family's 1533-position model. The record is from RNAcentral.
CCUACGGGAGGCUGCAGUGAGGAAUAUUGGUCAAUGGCCGGAAGGCUGAACCAGCCAUGCCGCGUGAAGGUCAGUGCCCUAUGGGCGUUAAACUUCUUUUGUGCGGGAGCAAUAAUGGUCACGUGUGGCCAGACGAGAGUACCGUACGAAUAAGCAUCGGCUAACUCCGUGCCAGCCGCCGCGGUAAUUCGGGGGAUGCAAGCGUUAUCCGGAGUUUUUGGGUGUAAAGGGUGCGUAGGCUGUGAGGUAAGUCAGCGGUGAAAUGCCCCCGCUCAACGGGGUGAAGGGCCAUUGAUACUGCCUUGCUGGAAUGCGGAUGCCGUGGGAGGAAUGUGUGGUGUAGCGGUGAAAUGCAUAGAUAUCACACAGAACACCGAUUGCGAAGGCAUCUCACGAAUCCGCGAUUGACGCUGAUGCACGAAAGCGUGGGUAUCAAACAGGAUUAGAUACCCGGGUAGUC